This 492-nucleotide ribosomal RNA is filed under the name uncultured bacterium. Its description in RNAcentral is "partial 16S ribosomal RNA". It matches the Rfam family "Bacterial small subunit ribosomal RNA", at positions 29 to 507 of the family's 1533-position model. The record is from RNAcentral.
AGUGAACGCUGGCGGUAGGCCUAACACAUGCAAGUCGAACGGCAGCACAGUAAGAGCUUGCUCUUACGGGUGGCGAGUGGCGGACGGGUGAGGAAUACAUCGGAAUCUACUUUUUCGUGGGGGAUAACGUAGGGAAACUUACGCUAAUACCGCAUACGACCUACGGGUGAAAGCAGGGGAUCUUCGGACCUUGCGCGAUUGAAUGAGCCGAUGUCGGAUUAGCUAGUUGGCGGGGUAAAGGCCCACCAAGGCGACGAUCCGUAGCUGGUCUGAGAGGAUGAUCAGCCACACUGGAACUGAGACACGGUCCAGACUCCUACGGGAGGCAGCAGUGGGGAAUAUUGGACAAUGGGCGCAAGCCUGGUCCAGCCAUACCGCGUGGGUGAAGAAGGCCUUCGGGUUGUAAAGCCCUUUUUUUGGGAAAGAAAAGCAGCAGGUUAAUACCCCGCUGUUCUGACGGUACCCAAAGAAUAAGCACCGGCUAACUUCGUG